AGACUCCCACAGGCUGCAGCUUUAUAAAGCAGUGCUCAGUGAAGGGAGAGUUUAUCAGGAACCAGGCACAGGGACAGGAGCACACACCAUGAUUUCACACAUCCAGCUGAUCUGGCCUCUGGCAUUCUGCGUCGCAGGUAUCAGUGGGGACAUCAUCAUGAACCAGUCUCCCCCGGUGCUGUCAGUGGGACUGGGCCAGACCGCAACCAUCACCUGUAAGUCCAGUCAGGGUGCCAGUGCUGAUGUUUCCUGGUACCAGCAGCGAGAAGGACAGAAACCCUCUCUCCUGAUCUAUUAUGCAACAAAUCGAUUCACAGGAGUCUCCGAGCGAUUCACCGGAAAAGAACUGUCCAGCACACACUUCACCCUGACAAUCAGCAAUGUUCAGAAUGAGGAUGUCGCUGACUAUUACUGUCAGCAAACUGAGAGCUACCCUCUUACAUUCGGUAAAGGAACCAAGCUCAGACUGAGCCGUGAGAGGUCUCAGCCCAAGCUGACCCUGCUGCCCCCCUCCCCGGAGCAGGUCCAGACCAAGGGCACUGCCACCCUGGUGUGCCUUGCCAAUCACUUCUAUCCUGAUGAGCUGGAGGUGCAGUGGAAGAAGGAUGGUGCAGUCAUUUCGGACGGGAUUCAGACCAGCAACUAUCUACGAGCUUCGGACAGCACCUACAGUGUCAGCAGCCUGCUGACCCUCUCUGGCUCUGACUGGGAGUCCAAUGCUCGCUUCUCCUGUGCCCUCACCCAUGUCACCCUCUCUUCUCCCCUCAGCAAGAGCAUCAGGAGAUCAGAGUGUGUGUAGUUGUUUGAGACAGUCCACAGAGGAGACACAACUUUAAAUAGAACAGGGCUGAGCUGGCUGGACAAAUGUCAUUGUCAGCACGGAAUUUCAACUCUCUUCCUUCUCGGGACUGGCUCGGAGACACUUCUGAGGUUCAGGGGUUAAGGCAGGGCAUUGGGACAGUGUAGAGAGAGCUUCACUCUGUAUCUAACCCCAUCCUGUACCUGUCCUGGGAGUGUUUGAUGGGGAUAGUGUUGACUUGAGAUAACAAGUAAAAGCUCUCAAAGAUGCUGAAGACUGUCAGCUGUACAAAUACAAUGUGAACCUCAGAAGUCUCUACUUCAGUAAACCAGACCUCCUUCCUGCUCAGCCGCCAGUUCCAAUUUAAGGUUUUGUCACUGUUUAAAGGGACAGGAUUCUCAUGUUAUUGAGAAAAUCUUCAUAAGUAUUUUCCUCAAGCUCCAUUCUGGCUGUGAAUUUGUGCAGCUUCCUCUCUCUGGGCUGUUAAUUGCAGUGUUUUUUCUGUCAAAGUCAAUCUGGAAAAGGGAAUAAAGAUGAAGAAGAUUUA
Non-coding RNA from Rhincodon typus (whale shark), 1346 nucleotides. NCBI's taxonomy places the organism in Eukaryota, Metazoa, Chordata, Chondrichthyes, Orectolobiformes, Rhincodontidae. The record is from the annotation of a RefSeq genome assembly.